AUUGAACGCUGGCGGCAUGCUUUACACAUGCAAGUCGAACGGCAGCGGGGGCUUCGGCCUGCCGGCGAGUGGCGAACGGGUGAGUAAUGCAUCGGAACGUGCCCAUGUCGUGGGGGAUAACGUAGCGAAAGCUACGCUAAUACCGCAUAUUCUGUGAGCAGGAAAGCAGGGGAUCGCAAGACCUUGCGCUGAUUGAGCGGCCGAUGUCAGAUUAGCUAGUUGGUGAGGUAAAGGCUCACCAAGGCGACGAUCUGUAGCGGGUCUGAGAGGAUGAUACGCCACACUGGAACUGAGACACGGUCCAGACUCCUACGGGAGGCAGCAGUGGGGAAUAUUGGACAAUGGGGGGAACCCUGAUCCAGCAAUGCCGCGUGUGUGAAGAAGGCCUUCGGGUUGUAAAGCACUUUAAGUUAGGAAGAAGGGUAGUGGUUUAAGAGGCGAUUACUUUGACAGUACUAACAGAAUAAGCACCGGCUAACUCUGUGCCAGCCGCCGCGGUAA
Molecule: ribosomal RNA, 501 nt
Filed under: uncultured bacterium
Lineage: Bacteria
Description: partial 16S ribosomal RNA
Rfam family: Bacterial small subunit ribosomal RNA
Source: RNAcentral